CCGUUGCUACAACCGCUCAGAACAGGUUAUUAAGACUUUUGAUAGAGCACCUGUAUGGCGAGUCUGAGUUUAAGA
This is a regulatory RNA element of Gracilibacillus halophilus YIM-C55.5, 75 nucleotides long. The record is from Rfam. NCBI's taxonomy places the organism in Bacteria, Bacillati, Bacillota, Bacilli, Caryophanales, Bacillaceae.